This 449-nucleotide ribosomal RNA is filed under the name uncultured bacterium. RNAcentral describes it as "partial 16S ribosomal RNA". It matches the Rfam family "Bacterial small subunit ribosomal RNA", at positions 29 to 523 of the family's 1533-position model. The record is from RNAcentral.
AGCGAACGCUGGCGGCAGGCUUAACACAUGCAAGUCGAACGCCCGGGCAACCGGGAGUGGCAGACGGGUGAGUCACACGUGGGAACGUACCCUUUGGUUCGGAAUAACUCAGGGAAACUUGAGCUAAUACCGGAUACGCCCUUUUGGGGAAAGAUUUAUCGCCGAAGGAUCGGCCCGCGUCGGAUUAGCUAGUUGGUGAGGUAACGGCUCACCAAGGCGACGAUCGGUAGCUGGUCUGAGAGGAUGAUCAGCCACACUGGGACUGAGACACGGCCCAGACUCCUACGGGAGGCAGCAGUGGGGAAUAUUGGACAAUGGGGGCAACCCUGAUCCAGCCAUGCCGCGUGAGUGAUGAAGGCCCUAGGGUUGUAAAGCUCUUUCGGCGGGGACGAUAAUGACGGUACCCGCAGAAGAAGCCCCGGCUAACUUCGUGCCAGCCGCCGCCGUAA